UAUAGGCUGCGAAGUAUGGUUAGA
Molecule: non-coding RNA, 24 nt
Filed under: Mus musculus (house mouse)
Lineage: Eukaryota; Metazoa; Chordata; Mammalia; Rodentia; Muridae
Source: RNAcentral